GGCACAGCAGCAUUAGUGCUGAGCUGGAGCGAGGAGAGGAACAAUACGGCACAUUAGAGGAGCAGCCAGCACACGCCAGAAACUGCUCCAGACUUCUAAUUAGCAUUCAUUAACAGUAGGGGAAAGAGCGAUUAUGGUCUUUAAGCAGUGCAUUAGCUAAUGUUGCUUUUUCUCACGUCAGCAGAUUUAGAUGGCGAGUAGUGGGCUGCCACAUCAGAGCCACUGCUUUGUGCUGACUGGGAGGUUCUGGUAGAGCUGCUGCACGGGCUUAUCUGAAGGCUGUUUUCACGUUGCUUCCUUUGUGAUCUAUCGGCCCGAAUACAGACGCCUGAGUUGCUGCUCACACCUCAGAUGCAGACAACCCAUGGCGAGUGCUCAUUUAGGGAGUCACUGUCUUAUCCUGGUUGAGGAGUGCAAGGUCAGAGGGAAACGCAGGGUGCCAACCAGACGCAGGUCUGAUAAGGAUGAGACACACCAAGCACCAUGCAACACUCACGCUUUGUUCCUCAUGUUUGCCUUAAUGUCAGC
Gasterosteus aculeatus aculeatus (three-spined stickleback) is the source of this 528-nucleotide long non-coding RNA. The record is from Ensembl. Lineage: Eukaryota; Metazoa; Chordata; Actinopteri; Perciformes; Gasterosteidae.